RNAcentral lists this ribosomal RNA (494 nucleotides) under uncultured bacterium. RNAcentral describes it as "partial 16S ribosomal RNA". It matches the Rfam family "Bacterial small subunit ribosomal RNA", at positions 28 to 507 of the family's 1533-position model. The record is from RNAcentral.
GACGAACGCUGGCGGCGUGCUUAACACAUGCAAGUCGAACGGAAAGGCCUGCUUUCCCUUGUGGAUUGCGGGUACUCGAGUGGCGAACGGGUGAGUAACACGUGAGUGAUCUGCCCCCAACUUGGGUAUAAGCCUGGGAAACUGGGUCUAAUUCCCGAUAGGACUGCAGGGUGGUGCCUGUGGUGGAAAACGAUUUUCUAGUGGUUGGGGAUGAGCUCGCGGCCUAUCAGCUUGUUGGUGGGGUAAUGGCCUACCAAGGCGGCGACGGGUAGCCGGCCUGAGAGGGUGGACGGCCACAUUGGGACUGAGAUACGGCCCAGACUCCUACGGGAGGCAGCAGUGGGGAAUAUUGCACAAUGGGCGGAAGCCUGAUGCAGCGACGCCGCGUGGGGGAUGACGGCCAUCGGGUUGUAAACUCCUUUCGACCGCGAGGAAGCCACCUGGUUGGAAGGGUGGUGACGGUAGUGGUAGAAGAAGCACCGGCUAACUACGUG